RNAcentral lists this ribosomal RNA (400 nucleotides) under uncultured bacterium. Its description in RNAcentral is "partial 16S ribosomal RNA". It matches the Rfam family "Bacterial small subunit ribosomal RNA", at positions 1125 to 1533 of the family's 1533-position model. The record is from RNAcentral.
AGUCAGUNGGGAAGNCGUAGGAGACCGCCAGCGAUAAGCUGGAGNAAGGUGGGGAUGACGUCAAGUCCUCAUNGCCUUUAUGUUCAGGGCUACACACGNGCUACAAUGGGCGGUACAAAGGGCCGCGAACCCGCGAGGGGGAGCCAAUCGCAAAAAACCGCUUUCAGUUCGGAUUGCAGGCUGCAACUCGCCUGCAUGAAGCUGGAAUCGCUAGUAAUGGCAGAUCAGCACGCUGCCGUGAAUACGUUCCCGGGCUUUGUACACACCGCCCGUCACAUCACGAAAGUGGAUUGUACUAGAAGUCUGCAGGCUGACCCGCAAGGGGGGCAGCGGCACAAGGUAUGAUCCAUGAUAGGGAUGAAGUAGUAAAAAAAUAAAGUGGACCUCCUGCGGCCGAUCC